This 470-nucleotide ribosomal RNA is filed under the name Semisulcospira reiniana. RNAcentral's name for it is "partial 16S ribosomal RNA". The record is from RNAcentral. Lineage: Eukaryota; Metazoa; Mollusca; Gastropoda; Semisulcospiridae.
GAAAUUUCAUUCGCACUAGUGAUAGCUAGUUUUCUAGGAAAGACAUAAAAGUGUCUUGGAAAAGAAUAAUUUAUAAUAUUAGUUAUUAUAUAUGUAUAUGUAUUCCGCUGAUUUUUUUGAGGAUAAGCUCAAAAAAAAGUUAAGAUUUAUUUUCAAUAAAGCUUGCUGUGUAGGUCUAAGAUUAAUCACCACAAAAGUUUUUUAUAAAAUAGUAAUCCUAGUUCUGUAGAUAAAUAUAAUUUAAACUAACCUUUUACUAGAAUAAAAACUUUUAUUUAAAUAAGUUUUAUACCUAUGCUAGAAUGAGUAUUAAAAUUUGACUAUAAGAGAAAUUAUAUUUAUAUUUUCUUCAGGAAAUUUUUUUAAAAAAAUUAAUUAAUUAGAAGGAACUCGGCAAAUAUUGUUGUUCCGCCUGUUUAUCAAAAACAUGGCUCUUUGAUUAUAUAAUAUAUAAAGAGUCGAGCCGGCCC